RNAcentral lists this microRNA (22 nucleotides) under Callithrix jacchus (white-tufted-ear marmoset). RNAcentral describes it as "cja-miR-9928". The record is from miRBase by way of RNAcentral. Lineage: Eukaryota; Metazoa; Chordata; Mammalia; Primates; Cebidae.
AGCUGACGUAGUUCUAGACGUG